Molecule: transfer-messenger RNA, 352 nt
Filed under: Dehalococcoidia
Lineage: Bacteria; Bacillati; Chloroflexota
Also listed under: 3 other names
Description: GCA-2722455 sp002722455 Standard tmRNA
Rfam family: transfer-messenger RNA
About the family: Bacterial tmRNA, also known as 10Sa RNA or SsrA, is named for its dual tRNA and mRNA-like properties. Its role is to liberate the mRNA from a stalled ribosome.
Source: RNAcentral
GGGGACGCGUGGUUUCGACGGGAGAUUUCUUGACGGGAUUGCAGGUCGGGGUGUCAUCUAACCUCGUUAUAAAGAUGACAAAAAAAGUAACUGGCAAUAAUCAAAAGCUAGCUUUAGCCGCUUAAUUCGGCUACGUUUCGCAGAUUGUUUCCCAAACUUUCUGUAGAGGCGACGAUAUUUGGGAUGCUGUUAUCUAGACUUCGAUAUAGAUAGCUUAAGUAAAAUCGAAUAGUUGUUGGUUCCAUUUUCUGAUCUAGGAGCAAAUAGCGAAAUUUUAGACCAGAUAAGCCUGUAGAUGUUCUGGCACAAGGAUCUUGUGGACGGGGAGUUCGACUCUCCCCCGUCUCCACCA